RNAcentral lists this long non-coding RNA (461 nucleotides) under Manihot esculenta (cassava). Its description in RNAcentral is "long non-coding RNA (MESC_LNC006067)". The record is from RNAcentral. Lineage: Eukaryota; Viridiplantae; Streptophyta; Magnoliopsida; Malpighiales; Euphorbiaceae.
AUUUUCCCGUCAUUGGUUCCCUGGCAAAACUCACUCACUCAUAAAUAUAUGCUAUGUUGCUACUUUAAAUAUAUGCUAUGUUGCUACUUUAAAUUAUAGAUAGUUCCUCUCUCUCUUUGCGCUGCUGAUAAGAUAUGGAAAGGUAAAAGAAUUACAUUUGGUCAUUAUGUGCCUAUGUGGUGCUACUUUAAAUUUUUCACUAUGAGAAAUGGCUUGAAUGCUCUCUCUCCCACUUCAUUCAUGCGUAUUUGUAUGCUGACGUUCUGUGGACCUGUGAGAUCAUUUGGACUAUAACUAUAAGGGCUCGGGCUUGUACAUAUCUUCUUUUUAUAUUGAGAACCUGUCUUGAUUCAUUAUCUGGUUUGUUUUGAAUUGUAUGACCACAGUUGUUCAAGUCUUCUUCUUACAUUGAGAACCUGUCUUGAUUCAUUUAUCUGGUUUGUUAUGAAUUGUAUAACCAC